UACGGGGGGGGCAAGCGUUGUUCGGAAUUACUGGGCGUAAAGCGCGCGUAGGCGGCUUUUCAAGUCGGGCGUGAAAGCCCCGGGCUUAACCCGGGAAUGGCGCUCGAUACUGUUGAGCUAGAGUGUGGAAGGGGCUACUGGAAUUCCGUGUGUAGCGGUGAAAUGCGCAGAUAUCAGGAGGAACACCGGUGGCGAAGGCGGGUCUCUGGGCCGAUACUGACGCUGAGGAGCGAAAGCGUGGGGAGCGAACAGG
Molecule: ribosomal RNA, 253 nt
Filed under: uncultured bacterium
Lineage: Bacteria
Description: partial 16S ribosomal RNA
Rfam family: Bacterial small subunit ribosomal RNA
Source: RNAcentral